This 472-nucleotide long non-coding RNA is filed under the name Dasypus novemcinctus (nine-banded armadillo). Its description in RNAcentral is "lncRNA (ENSDNOG00000052082.1)". The record is from RNAcentral. Lineage: Eukaryota; Metazoa; Chordata; Mammalia; Cingulata; Dasypodidae.
GCGCAGGAACCGAGGCAGCGGGUGGAGCCCGAGCCGCGCGGCGGCGGCCAAUCGCGCAGUACCGGAGGAGGAGCCCCGAAGGGGGAAAAAGAAAGUGCGGCGGAAAGUAAGAGGCUCAGAGGGGAGGACUCGGCGGGUGAGGGGUCCCUGCGCUCCGCUCUGGACAGACCCGCCUGAAGAAGCAGUGUGGGGCGACUCUGCACCCAUCUCCUCUGCCUUUGCCGCGCCCUCUCUGCUUCCCAAGAAAGGAUGGGACUUCUGGGGUAUGUAAUGAGUCUCUGCAUCUUUGGGAUCCUGCAAAGCAAUGCCUCAGGUAAGUGAAUGGCUUUUGACAAUCUAUUAAAAUACAAAUCAUGCACUGGGUAAUAUAUCAACUCUUUGUGAGACUGAGUUUAAAAGAACAUGAUAUUGUUUCCAUUGUCUUUUGUGGCAGCACGUUUGACAGAAUCAUAAAGUUUUGGCAAUAGGAGGA